UGCUGGAGGUGCCAUAAUUCUCUCCAUCAGAUUAGUUCCCUGCCUCUUGAUGUUUCCUUAGUGAGUGCAAUUCUCGUGGGUCUGUGACUAACAUGCAGCUGCCAUUUUUGGCGUUUAAUUUUGUGUGUUUUAGUGUAGUGUGUUGUAUAAACAUUUUUAUUUUCUUAUUCAAUUUCGAUUAUAAAAACCGAAAAAUGGCGUUUCUUUGAUGAAGAUUUCCAUAUUGCAUCCG
This 232-nucleotide unclassified non-coding RNA is filed under the name Hevea brasiliensis (rubber tree). Lineage: Eukaryota; Viridiplantae; Streptophyta; Magnoliopsida; Malpighiales; Euphorbiaceae. The record is from RNAcentral.